This 1337-nucleotide long non-coding RNA is filed under the name Oncorhynchus mykiss (rainbow trout). Its description in RNAcentral is "lncRNA (ENSOMYG00000033837.2)". The record is from RNAcentral. Lineage: Eukaryota; Metazoa; Chordata; Actinopteri; Salmoniformes; Salmonidae.
UAAAAUUUGGACUCCGAAACGGUAAACUCCAGUCAUCAAUCAUGUCAUCUGAUACUGCUGUAGUUCCAUGCAACCAUCAAAUGGACAGCCCAGAUUUCAUUAGAGACCUGCUCCCUGCUGCAGAGAAGACAGCCCUGCUGUACAACAUCUCCUACCUCUGCCUGGCCAAAUUCCCCUCUCUGGAGAGAAUCAUCAGAGCCAAUGCUGUUGAGGCCCAAAUGCUGUUCUCCUCCUCUGAGGCUCUGCUGCUGCUGUGUGUUAGCACCAGUGACAACAUGGUCAAGACAUUAUUCCCUAUGCUGAAGGCUGCUGUGGAGAAAGAUAAGCCAGUAGUUGCCAUCAAAUUCCUGAUGAAGGCCAAUCAGUGGAUCCAUGAUAUCAUCAAAGAAGUUGAAAAAAUAGUAGAAGCCUACAAGAAUCUCAACAAUGGGGUGGCGACCGCCACCAGCGAUGUUAUUUACACCAAAGCCAAAACAGAGGACAAGAAUAAACAGCUGACCAAUGAAGAGAAUAUCCUGCAGAAUGCUGUUGACGAAUACAAUAGGAAGCUAAGUGUCAUCCAGUCAGAUCUGACGGAGGUCAAUAGAAAAAUCAACGAUGCUGAUACGGAGCUGCGUGAGUUGGUUAACAGCAUUACCAGUAGAAACAAGAAGAUUGGCAUAGUGGCUGCUGUGGUUCCCUUCAUAGGAUUAAUCACCGAUGCUAUCCAGAAGAUAAUCAAUGACCCUACUGAUAGUGCAGCCAUUGAGUUGGCCAAGAACAAGAUGAAUCAGCUUCAGCUGGACAAGACCCGUUUGAGUAAAAACGAAUGGGAGGCCCAAACGGAGGCGAUGAAACACCAGAUGGAGCUGACCAGAGCCAAAUUUGACCUGGGUUCUGUUCCUGAUCCUGUCCAUCUGGCUGAGGUUCAAAUCUGCCUGACCCGGAUCCAGGAGAUUCUGCUGCAACUCAAAAGCUUCUGGGAGAAGAUCGGAGUGAUGGUGACCAACCUGCAGCAGAAGACCUUUGCUGGGGAAGACCUGAUUGAUGAUCUCUCAGAAUUUAAGGAGGAGUUCUUGGAUUCAUUGAAAGUAGCUGAAGAGGCUUGGAACACGUUUAGUGGGAGAUGCCAGAAUGUCAUGGGCAUGUUUAGUGUCCAGUCAAAGGAUGCCUACAAGUUCCUGGAGACCAGCCCAUCAUCUCUCACCCAGGAAGAGUGGCAGGAAAUGUAUGAUGCUGUGACAGCCAAACUGUAUUCCUUCUACCCUGCCCUCGAGGCCAAGCAGGCCUUUGAGGACCAGCAGGACAUUGAGGACCAGCAGGACAUUGAGGACCAGCAGGCUGCAAAAAGUAAUUAA